UAGGGUGGAUAAAUUUAGGAUUUUGGGUAUCUAGGGAUUUGAAAUGGUAAGAAGAAAAAGAGAGAGUGAGAUCUGGACAGCGUUGUGUAGGCAAAGAGUG
Ipomoea nil (Japanese morning glory) is the source of this 100-nucleotide long non-coding RNA. RefSeq lists it as uncharacterized. Lineage: Eukaryota; Viridiplantae; Streptophyta; Magnoliopsida; Solanales; Convolvulaceae. The transcript has 4 exons. The record is from RefSeq and is a predicted model, not a curated record.